AUGCAUGUCUAUGCAUAAACCGAAUAUGGUAAAGCCGCGAAUGGCUCAUUACAACAGCCAUAGUUUAUUGGAUCUUAGAGUCCUACUUGGAUACCUGUGGUAAUUCUAGAGCUAAUACACGCAAUCAAGCCCCAACCUUACGGGCGGGGCGCAUUUAUUAGAACAAAACCAAUUGGCUUCGGCCAUUAAUUGGUGAAUCUGAAUAACUACGCUGAUCGCAUGGUCUCGCACCGGCGACGUAUCCUUCAAGUGUCUGCCUUAUCAACUUUCGAUGGUAGUUUACAUGACUACCAUGGUUGUAACGGGUAACGGAGAAUAAGGGUUCGACUCCGGAGAGGGAGCCUGAGAAACGGCUACCACAUCCAAGGAAGGCAGCAGGCGCGCAAAUUACCCACUCUCAGAACGAGGAGGUAGUGACGAAAAAUAACGAGACAGUUCUCUAUGAGGUCUGUCAUCGGAAUGGGUACAAUCUAAACCCUUUAACGAGGAUCUAUUGGAGGGCAAGUCUGGUGCCAGCAGCCGCGGUAAUUCCAGCUCCAAUAGCGUAUAUUAAAGUUGUUGCGGUUAAAAAGCUCGUAGUUGGAUCUGCGGUCUCAGACGCUGGUUUCCUUCACGGAAUACUGGUUGUCUAGACCUACCUUGCUGGUUUUCUCCUGGUGCUCUUUACUGAGUGCCUUGAGUGGCUAGCACGUUUACUUUGAAAAAAUUAGAGUGCUUAACGCAGGCUUUUGCCUGAAUAGUGGUGCAUGGAAUAAUGGAAUAGGACCUCGGUUCUAUUUUGUUGGUUUUCGGAGCACGAGGUAAUGAUUAAGAGGGACAGACGGGGGCAUUCGUACUGCUGCGUUAGAGGUGAAAUUCUUGGAUCGCAGCAUGACGAACAACUGCGAAAGCAUUUGCCAAGAAUGUUUUCAUUAAUCAAGAACGAUAGUUAGAG
This 934-nucleotide ribosomal RNA is filed under the name Neochromadora sp. 1 LM-2017. Its description in RNAcentral is "SSU rRNA". It matches the Rfam family "Eukaryotic small subunit ribosomal RNA", at positions 51 to 995 of the family's 1831-position model. The record is from RNAcentral. Lineage: Eukaryota; Metazoa; Nematoda; Chromadorea; Chromadorida; Chromadoridae.